RNAcentral lists this ribosomal RNA (253 nucleotides) under uncultured bacterium. RNAcentral describes it as "partial 16S ribosomal RNA". It matches the Rfam family "Bacterial small subunit ribosomal RNA", at positions 524 to 776 of the family's 1533-position model. The record is from RNAcentral.
UACGUAGGGUGCGAGCGUUAAUCGGAAUUACUGGGCGUAAAGCGUGCGCAGGCGGCUCCUUAAGUCAGAUGUGAAAUCCCCGGGCUUAACCUGGGAACUGCGUUUGAAACUGGGGGGCUGGAGUGUGGCAGAGGGGGGUGGAAUUCCAGGUGUAGCAGUGAAAUGCGUAGAGAUCUGGAGGAACACCGAUGGCGAAGGCAGCCCCCUGGGUUAACACUGACGCUCAUGCGCGAAAGCGUGGGGAGCAAACGGG